RNAcentral lists this ribosomal RNA (320 nucleotides) under uncultured Thalassomyxa. RNAcentral describes it as "SSU rRNA". The stretch from base 102 to 320 matches the Rfam family "Eukaryotic small subunit ribosomal RNA", at positions 734 to 955 of the family's 1831-position model. Lineage: Eukaryota; Endomyxa; Vampyrellida. The record is from RNAcentral.
GACAUAUGAUUUGGUAGCACCCGGACCACUUCCUAGCGUUGUGAGCUCCGGUUGUGCACCGGUCAUUUUUCUGAAGAGCACUUCUGCCCUUGAUUGGGUAGUUGUGUGAUUCAGAUCAUUUACUGUGAGUAAAUCAGAGUGUUCAAAGCAGGCUUUAUGCUUGUAUGGUUCAGCAUGGAAUAAUAAGAUAAGACUUCGGUUUUAUUUUGUUGGCUGUAGAACCAAAGUAAUGAUUGAAAGGGAUAGUUGGGGGUGCUAGUACUCAGUGGUCAGCGGUGAAAUGCGAGGACCCAUUGAAGACUAACUUAUGCGAAAGCAUU